UAUGUGAUCGUCUCUCGCAUAUCAAUAAGCGGAGGAAAAGAAACUAACAAGGAUUCCCCUAGUAACGGCGAGUGAAGCGGGAGAGCUCAAAUUUGAAAUCUUAAAGGGUUUCCCUUUACGAAUUGUAGUUUAAAGAAGUGUUUUCUGUUGAGGUUUUGGUAAAAGUUCUUUGGAAUAGGACAUCAUAGAGGGUGAGAAUCCCGUAUUUGACCUUUACUUUCAACUUUGUGAUACACUUUCAAAGAGUCGGAUUGUUUGGGAAUGCAGUCCAAAAUGGGUGGUAAAUUUCAUCUAAAGCUAAAUAUUGGCGAGAGACCGAUAGCGAACAAGUACCGUGAGGGAAAGAUGAAAAGAACUUUGAAAAGAGAGUUAAACAGUACGUGAAAUUGUCAAAAGGGAAGCGUUUGACACCAGUGUUGUUUUUCUGAAAAUCAAUUAAAGAACUGUUUAUGCUAAGUUGUUUAGACUUUAUCAGCUAACUGUUUAGUUUUGAGCUUUUCUUUAAUGCACUUUUCAGUUAACAAGUCAACAUCAAUUUCUUUUGCUGUAAAAAAGCUUGAGGAAGGUGGCUUGAGAUUCGUCUUAAGUGUUUAUAGCCUCUUGCCUAUGCAGUCGGAGAGAUUGAGGUCUGCAGCGUAGAUCCUUCGGGGCUAAAUGCAUUUGUGCUAUGUUAUAGCAUUUUAUAGACAACUUGUUGACUAUGAUUUGUCUUGUAGCUUACUCGCUUAUGUUAUUUUACCUACGCUUAGGAUGUUGAGCGCAUGUCUCUCUCU
RNAcentral lists this ribosomal RNA (773 nucleotides) under uncultured Neocallimastigales. RNAcentral describes it as "partial large subunit ribosomal RNA". It matches the Rfam family "Eukaryotic large subunit ribosomal RNA", at positions 24 to 616 of the family's 3401-position model. Lineage: Eukaryota; Fungi; Neocallimastigomycota; Neocallimastigomycetes; Neocallimastigales. The record is from RNAcentral.